RNA transcript from Quercus robur (English oak), 3321 nucleotides. RefSeq lists it as uncharacterized. The transcript is spliced from 10 exons. The record is from RefSeq and is a predicted model, not a curated record. Lineage: Eukaryota; Viridiplantae; Streptophyta; Magnoliopsida; Fagales; Fagaceae.
ACACUAAAGAAAGUUUAUUUCUUUAACUACCUCGAUGGCUACACUCCAAACCUCUCCAUUGAACGUUCACUUGCUAAGCUCACAUUUCCUUCUCUUUCCUCUUUCUUCUUUUUCCAUGGCUUCCCAGUUGUCUUUGCAACUUCCACAAUUCUUUUACUACUCAAAAUCGGUUGGACUUGACAAUAGAGGAAAGGCCAUGGCAAAUGCACCUCACUCGUUGAAUUUCAAACCCAAGGAGCAAGGAACAUGUGACCUUUCAAAGAAAAACUACUCACGAUGGUUUUCUUCGUGGAUGUUAUUGUCAACGGCUUCUUCUCAUUCUAAUCAAACCAAUAGUGAGAAUGGUGUUCCUGUGGCUAACCAUCGAAGUCCUGAGUUGGGAUUUAAUCGGGUGAAUGGUCUUGUGUAUUGCAUGAAUCUGCUAGGAGUUUUUCCUGUGCAGUUGAAUCACUUCAGUUGUCAGGAAUGGGUCCGGCACUAGCAAUGGCCUGGAUUGGGAAGGAUGUCCAUGACUGGCAUAAACGUCUUGCUUAUCAGCUUGUCCCCCAAGGUAAAAUUGUUUGGGGUGUAUAUUGAAAGUGAACUGAACACAAGGCACACAGGAUUGGUAGAAUGGUUUAAAGAGGUUGAGCUUCCGCAUAUAGCAGGAUUUUUUCUUCCUUUGUUAAAGAACUGGUCUAUGGAAUAUGAAGGAAGUGGUGUUGCAGGGAUCAUUGUGGUUCUAAGCUGCUGUACUGCAGUAGGAAAAUUGUGUUAUAGGCGCACUUGCUGUCCCUUUACAUUGUCGAUUGAGGAUGCGCUAGUAGAGCUCAUGGAUCUUUCACACAGUCUUGUGCCAGUGGACAAAUUACAUCAGUUAGCCACUGAAGCAGGAUUUGAAAUGGACCUGCUGACCCAUUUUGGUACAAAGGUUUUCCCCAGCAAGAGAAGCGAAGAGCUAGGAUUUUGGAUUGGGUUGGCUCAGAAAAAAAUUUCAGUAGCAUUCCAGAAAGAAAAUUUGUUUUCAGGCAGGCAAAUCUGCUACAAGGUCCAUUCAUGAAAUAAUUUCCUUAUCUUUUCUAUAGAAAUGACAGUCUUAAGGAAUUACACAUCAUUUCACGUGACUCUAGACAUAAGCAAAAAUACUCCUAUCAUUCCAAUUCCUAAUUUCCCGAAGGAAACUUUGUUUAUAUAACUGAAAAAUAUACAUUUUUUAUAUAAUACACCAAAAAGAAUUCUUUGUCAAGUUCCAAAAAUUCAAGGACCUUGCUUGAUGGUUGAUUUGGUCAGAGCUUUGAUAAGCUUAUACUUUCUUUCUGGUUUUAUUGCUUAUCAAAAAAAUAAAAAGAAUUUCUUUCUGGCUUAGCAACUGUACCUUUAGGAUUAAAUAGUUUAUCUCUGUUGCAAAAUUUGACAGGUUCAAGCAGAUAGUUUCACUACUUUAGGAAUUUUUGCAUAUCUUGGAAAGAGUACUAGAUUGUUCUUGUCAACAAUGGGCAUAAAGGAUCUGGAUGAACAUGUUAAAGACUUCCUUAGGUAGAUUAGUUCACAUUUUGGUUACAUUCUCAACAUUUCAGGCCUUAAAUAGGGAUACUUUAGGAGGUCCAAUACUUUUCCUGCAGCUACUUGGAAUGUGGUAGCCUUUUCAUUUACCCAGAGCUUCCUUCCAUAUCAGUGUAUCAAAUCUUCAUGGAGGUAGUAAUUGAUGAAAUUGGAUUGUUUGAUUUUUACGCUGCAUUUUCUUACAUAUGCAAUCAAGAGCGAAGAAGAUCCAGACAGUAUCCCAUCCAAGCAGAGAAAGAGAUAAUUUUAACUACAGUUUUUACUGUAUGCUAUGAUGUUUUCUCUGGGUUUGCUCACUUCAGCCGUUCUACUCUACUGCCACUAGACACAAAUUUGCUAGAAUUCUUGCUGCGGAGUCAGAGCCUGUUAACUGUCUGUUUGGAAGACUACCGGGCAGCUUAUGAUAAGCCAUGCAGUGAACCCUUAAAGUUUUCAGAAACAGGUUCCUCUGAUGCCACUUCAUUUUUACGAUCUAGGGGAACAAUUAAGUCAUUUGUAGUCUUGGGAGCACAACGAAAUCCAAAUGACUUAAGGGCACAGGGAUGCACAGCGAAUGACACUCAACAUGGAUCUAAACUGAAAAAACUGGAUACCAUAUCAGCUGGGUAUGUGGAGGGAGCCUUUGCUGCUAAGUCAAUUCCUCAUCAUGAGAGUUUAAUUAGGAAAUACAGUAUCAAGUUGGCAUCUGCAAGCUCUGAUAUCUGGAUGGGUACACAAUUGCUUUUCACAGACAUCAGGGUUGCUGCAGAGCUACUCGUAAAUCAAUUGCGUGCUUACCAGGUCGCAGAGAGGGAAAGAAAGAAGUUAAGAAGAACUUUAAAUGACAUUUCUUUACUUAUUCCAGUAACAAUUAUAAUGCUACUUCCUGUAAGCACUUAUUGGAUCACUUUUCUUUCAAUAGUUAUUUAUUUAUUUUUUAUCACUGACUCAAGAACAUACCUUCUUGUGUAUGAGUAUGACCUUUAAUGAGUUUAGCAUUCUGAAAUUGGACCAACCAAUAAAUAUAGCAACUUUAUUCUGACGUAAUAGUUUGUGAACUCAGACUAACAAUUACAAAGUUUAAACAAGCUUCACCAAAGUCACAAGAGUAGGAAACUUUUUCAAAGAACCUGAUUUAAUGAUGACAUACUUUCAUCCAUCUUUACAUGCCAAAUUUUCUUGUUUCCCAUUGUUUAGCUUUUAUCCAGUUAAAUGCAUCAAGACCAAUUACAGUAUUCCUUAUUGUACCAAGAGCGAAAUCAUUGUCUAUCCAGAUGAAGGUUUAUUAAAUUAGUUUAUUCUUUUAAUGUAGCACUUAUAAAUGAUGAAAGUGCCCCUUGUUCACAAUGAGGAACAGCUGUAAGUCUCUAACCAGAGACAGUAAGAUGAAUAAAAAGUUCAAUAAUUGAAACAUAAUUAGGUUUAUUAACUUGUUCAUCGUGAUACAAUUUGUUUUGUUUUGUUUUUUUGUUUUUUAUUUAUUUUUUCAAUCAUUUAUAGUUCUUUAUUGAAGCUAACUCUUUUUUUCUCUCAUGUAUAAUAUGCACUUGGGUGUCAAGGUGACCUAUUAAUAGGGUUAAACAAAAGCAGAGUUUUUGUAAGAAACUCUAACAGAUUCAUAACGAAGUUGACAAAUUUGCUCUCCCUUCUACGAGCAGGUAUCUGCUAUAGGUCACGCAGCCAUUCUAGCAGCAAUCAAAAAAUUCCUUCUCCAUAUUCUUCUGAGCGAUUGGAUGUUGUGAAACAACUAAAAAGAACUAAGAAGAUGGAAGUUCAGUCAUGGAGCAACCUUGAAGAUCC